Molecule: long non-coding RNA, 248 nt
Filed under: Elaeis guineensis (African oil palm)
Lineage: Eukaryota; Viridiplantae; Streptophyta; Magnoliopsida; Arecales; Arecaceae
Description: long non-coding RNA (EGUI_LNC035310)
Source: RNAcentral
UGGCAACCUAUUCGACUGAUCGGUUGAGACUCAAGACUCAUGUAGCUAUCACAUGCGCUAGAUGCUCCAACAUCAUACUUCUCUAGGUGAAGAAGACUCGCCAUUGAGGCUAAAUCUUCUUGAUCUUCAUAGUAAGGCAAGAGAUUAGCAAUAUUCUUGUGCUAUAGGUCCACAUUAUCAGUAGUAUUAUCCUUAUUAUGUGUCAAGUGAGGUAUAGCUACUGAUGCUAUGAAAGGGAAGCCAUAAUC